UCAGAGCUGGGAAAGGAAAUUUAAGCCGUGGCUUUUUCUGGGCUUACGUAUGAUAUGGAUUCUUCCUUGAGAUGAUGGCAGAAAGGAGGAGAAGUGGUUCUUGAAAGUGUGGGCAGAGCACUGGGGCAUCUGCCAGGAUGAAGCCUGUGAGUUUCCUGCUAGGAUCUCCUGACUUCACAAACACAGCUGCAUUGCUCUGCUGUGAUCCAACACCAACAUCAGGACCUGACCUGCCUCUGAGCCUGGCCCAGGUAUGAGGAUGUGUACCUACUCCUAAGCUCUUGUAACCCAACCUAUGUCUAAAUCUCUAUUCACUUGUUCCCAACUAUGUUGACCACAAAUGCUCUGCUUAUCACCCAGGACUCCACUAGGAUGUUUCUGACACAGACUACCAUCUCCAUCUUUUGUCUAGACUUAACAUUCCCCUGACAAGACUUCCAUGUCUACAAGUGUUUGGAGCAGUAGUGUGGAGUAGGUGGGAAGGGCUAGCUGCACUUGGCUGUUUCUGGCUCUCAGGUCUUUGCAUUACAGCUAUUCUAAGGCAAUCCCACAGCCCUACGGAGCUGUGGUCUCCAACUGUGAGCUCCUAGACUCAGAAGAGCAUCACUGGAUGAUGUUCAUCCAAUUUAGCAGAGGUCAGAUGAGAUUCUUGGGUUUGUUCUCAUAGACUGUGGCUGUCUAGUCAAGCCCAGCCAUGUCAAAGGGCUGAACUUUUUCCCUUUCCCUAGAUGCUACAAGAUCCAUAUACUUUCUUGCCCCCCUCACCCCCCAUCAAACUACUACUUACCCAGAAUGCUCCAGGGCAUCUCAAACUCUGAGACUUAAAAAAAAUCUAUGCCUGAUCUCUUUCUCUCUCUGUGUCUCUCUGUCUCUUUAUUUCUCUCUUUUCCUGUCCCAAGACUAUGGCUGUCACCCUGCUGACAGACAAAUGCUGUUCUAGAAAGCCAUUCUAGAUAUUCUCAUCUGCCCUGUUGUGUCAAGCUGCACCCUCAGAAUACAAGUAUCAGAAUUAAAUCCUCCUGGCUGCUGCCAAAGGCUAGGGAAAACCAAAUGCUUCUCCUCUGAAAGAGGAGCUGGGCAGUGGUCCCUGUAUUUACGAGAAAUAACAGUUUGGGGUAUAGAUCCAAACUCUGAAAUUUUUAUCUUAAAGAUGACACUGGGACCAAUAUUCCCCAUUCUCAAAGCACUGCUUCUGAGAGCCUAUAUGGUGCCCUUUCUUCUAAGACUCACCCUU
Molecule: long non-coding RNA, 1234 nt
Organism: Mastomys coucha (southern multimammate mouse)
Lineage: Eukaryota; Metazoa; Chordata; Mammalia; Rodentia; Muridae
Exons: 3
Source: RefSeq, a predicted model, not a curated record